GGGGAAUUUUGGACAAUGGGGGCAACCCUGAUCCAGCCAUUCCGCGUGAGUGAAGAAGGCCUUCGGGUUGUAAAGCUCUUUCGGCCGGGAAGAAAUCGCAUCUCCUAAUACGGGGUGUGGAUGACGGUACCGGAAGAAGAAGCACCGGCUAACUACGUGCCAGCAGCCGCGGUAAUACGUAGGGUGCGAGCGUUAAUCGGAAUUACUGGGCGUAAAGCGUGCGCAGGCGGCUCACUAAGACAGAUGUGAAAUCCCCGGGCUUAACCUGGGAACUGCGUUUGUGACUGGUGGGCUUGAGUGCGGCAGAGGGGGGUGGAAUUCCACGUGUAGCAGUGAAAUGCGUAGAGAUGUGGAGGAACACCGAUGGCGAAGGCAGCCCCCUGGGUCGACACUGACGCUCAUGCACGAAAGCGUGGGGAGCAAAC
Molecule: ribosomal RNA, 425 nt
Filed under: uncultured bacterium
Lineage: Bacteria
Description: bacterial SSU rRNA
Rfam family: Bacterial small subunit ribosomal RNA
Source: RNAcentral